Molecule: long non-coding RNA, 1018 nt
Organism: Meriones unguiculatus (Mongolian gerbil)
Lineage: Eukaryota; Metazoa; Chordata; Mammalia; Rodentia; Muridae
Exons: 3
Source: RefSeq, a predicted model, not a curated record
GGAUUCCAGCUCUCCUUGGCUCUGCUGUGGCCAAGGCCUGAGGGAGAAAGCUCAGUCCAUGGAAAUCAAAGCGUGGGGAGACGGAUGUCUUCUGCCUCUUUCCCUUUUUGAAAAGGUUCUGAAUGCUGGGAAUACAGACAUAUCACCACACCGGGCUUAGGCUGGGGACUGAACCCAAGGGCUUCCGGCAUGCUGGAUUCCCCAGGAGCUCCACCUCUGAAUAGCAGAGCCCUGAUCAAUGCCUGUGCACCGAGAGGGAAACGGAGGCAUGCCUGGCCUACUUGGAGUGGAAGCAUAACAGAUAAAGAGGUGUGCCCUCUGUCUCAGCAGUUUCCACGGCCUUUGCUGGAUUCCCUACCAAGUCCCAGAGAGUCCUGGAGAGAUGGGCAAAGAAAGGUGCCCCUGAAGGUCAUCAGUAACCCUUCCAGGGGUUGUGCUCUCUUUUUCCAUUUUGUUUGAGACAAAGACUUUUACUCUGUAGCCCAGGCUAGCCUCAAAUGCAUGGCAGUCUUCUCUCAGCUUCCCAAGUUAACCGCACCCAGCUUUUGUGUCCUUCACAAAUAACUUGGCGUAGUAUUUUCAUCAGGUCCGGCUGGGUCUGUUUUCCUGCUGCGGUUGGUAUCCCAGAGCUAUGCCCCCCCCCACACACACACACACAAGCCAUCUCUUUUCCUCGUGAACUCAAGGUCUGCAUUCCCUUACAGGCUGUUCUUUUUGUAUACACGUGUGUAAAGUGACUAAUACACUGUUGGUCUCAGACCCUACCCUGGUGAUGGGGACACCUUACAGCCAAACAAAAUAUCCAACGUCUUUGCUAUCCAGACUUUUUAUUGAGGGGAACAGAUAGAACUACAAAAGAGAAACAGGUAAGGUAAAAAUGAAAAUCCAGAGCGUGGGCUGUGGAGACAACACACCUGUAAGCCCCAGCACUCAGGAACCAGAGGACCCUGAGUCCCAAGCCAGCCUGUUCACCUUUAACUCCAGCACAAAAGAAAACAACAACGAAAGAGUUGUGAUU